This 3870-nucleotide long non-coding RNA is filed under the name Panax ginseng (ginseng). Its description in RNAcentral is "long non-coding RNA (PGIN_LNC004116)". Lineage: Eukaryota; Viridiplantae; Streptophyta; Magnoliopsida; Apiales; Araliaceae. The record is from RNAcentral.
AUUAAGAUAAUAACAUCAUAUAUAAUAAUCAUUAUUAAAAGUUUACCUACAUAAACAUAUCUCAGGUCAUCUAACCUUUAUUACAUCACAAUUGCAAAAAAAAUAAUUAAAUCCAUUACAUAACUCAAUAUGAGUAAAUAUAAGCUAAAAAUCAUCUAAUCAUGCAUUUUGCCCUUGCCUUUGCUCGAAGAAGGCUUCUUAGGUUCCUCGAACUUAACUGGAAUGGUUAUGCAAGGGUGUGCAAUCAAUUUACCCACAAGUAUAAUAAUAUAUAAUAAAUGACUCAUAAAAGAAACAUAUGUUUAUUCUUCAAUUGAAUGAAAAGUCCCUUAUUGGAAUAAAUCAUUAAUAAGUCAAAAACUUUUGAAAUCAACGAGAUAAUCAAUUCUAUAAAUCAAAUCAUAGAUGUUGAAUUCAAAUGUAUACACCGAGGGUCACAAGACCAUGAACUAUAUCCUAAGUUCACAAGUAUUUCUACUGUAACCUUUAACAGUCAAAAUACAAUGGACCAUCUCAGCCCUUCGUAUUAUGUAUUGUGCAUAAAUAUAUCAUCGUUAUUGCGUAGUUCAGAAUUAUAGUUUUCGAUAACAUUUUCCCUUGAAUAGGGUUGUUCAUCUCAGCUUUAUCACAAGAAAUUAACCACACCAAAAUAAUUCAAUUUGGUAUAACUUCAGAAAUAAUUCUAGAUUUUUAGAACGCUCAUCGAAUAAGGACUAGCCGAAUCAAAUGGGUUCGAUAUUAAAUCAAAGGAUUCAAUAAUCAUAUCAAGUUGUGGCACAUCAACAUGCCAUAAAUCGUUAAUUUCAAUUAAAAUAGAAUUACAACUAUUCAUAAUUGAACAAGUGUCAUUUAUCAAAGUAAUGCUUUUGAAAAUAAUUAGAGAGAUUGCAAGUACUCAACAAAUUAAUUCAAGUACGAAAGGAAUAAUAUAUAAUAGAAAAUUUUGCUCAAUAUUGAAAUAUAAGCAAAAGUUAAGAAACUUGAGCGCCCGCUACAAAGUUAUGAUAUACGUCCUUUAAAUAUCCUACACAUUUUAGUCAUGAUAAUACAUUGAUUAGCUAUGAAACAAUGUUCACUAACCUCUUACACUAACUCCAUUCUAUGACCCAUCAUUCUUUGAUGUGAAUACGACUUGUUAUUAUAUCUUUUUACACACUUAACACCUCAUUAUGUUCAUUAGAAUAAGUUAAGUAAAACAUCUCCCAAUAUGUACAUUUAAAAUCUCAUUACUUGGCCUGAUCUACCACCAGCGCGGCCGCGCCACAUUUGGCCUUGGUACCAGCGUGGCAGCGCUUUUGCGCAGUCGAGCCCAGUUAAGCUUGGAUCAUGGUGUGACAGUGCCCUCCUGCAGAAUAAGUUUUCCAAUUUUGUUUCAUACUCUGUUUCCAUCUGAACUUUCUAUCUUAUUCAUUUAGGGACCAAAUCAGAUAGUUUACAAUUCUAUAAACUCGCUACACACUGAACUACACAUUUACAUAACAAUUUUUCCAUUACAGGAAUUCUAUCCAACCAUUUAAAUAACCCAAAUUCAGUAUUCAUGUUAUAUAUUCCUAUUUUAACAUAUUUUACGAAUUCGUUGUAAGUCCGAUUUAAUUCAUUCAAACUGGAUUGUUUUUGUAUUUGAGAGAUAUAUAACAUAGAAUCAUCAAUUCAAGACUUUAAACAUAAUAUUAGAACCAAUUUAUCCUCUAAAUCAGAGCCAAAAUAUCUAAAAUCAGUCCAAAGUCUAUUUCUUUCUCUUUUACACACAAAUUCUAAUUUGAUUACUCUAAUUUUACUGUAAAUGACAAAAAUCAAAUUAUUAAUCAAUUGAAAUCACGUAAUUUGAAAUUUUCACCAACUCAUUCAACCAAACAACUUCUAAUAGAGAAAAACUUAAGAAAUAGGAAUAAGAAGUUUUGAAGUGUCUUUCCUACCUCUUAGAUCUUCUUUAGCCUAGUUAGAUUAUGAAGAAUGCUUGGUUAACUCUUCCUUCUUCUCCUUGAUCAACAAAGUUUUCUCCAUACUUCGCAGGAAGCCCAUUGACGCUCUUUCUCUCUCUUUGAGUUCUCUCAAUUUUCUCUCUACCGGAUUUCUUCUUAACGAAAUGGAAUAAUAAGGAAAUGAGAGUAAUAUACUUGUAAUUAAUUAACCGAUCGGUUAAGGAAUGGAAGGUCAGAGCCGUUUGGGAGAGCUCAGGUACAUUUCAAGGUUUAUUAUUAUUAUUAUUAUUAUUAUUAUUAUUAUUAUUAUUAUUAAUUUCCCUCUGCAAGUCUCCUCCACUCUCCAUCCUUAUUAAACUGAAAACACCUUGCUUAAUUUCUAUUAGUCAAGGUAUUUUUAAUUGCCUGCUAUAUUAUUUAGCCUUUUCACUUCCCCUAUUAUAUCCAGUUAAUACUUCUCAAAUAUAGAUAGUUAUAUCCCAUUUAUCCACCCAUUAAACUAAAUUUUAUAUUUUAAUUUGAACUUAAAUUGGGUUUCUUAAGAAAUGAAAUUAGGCAUUUAAUUUUCACAUAUUCGGAAUAUUUUAUUCCCUACACUCAGACCUUAUUUAAUUUAAUAAAAUUCUAUUAAGCCAAUUAUCAAUUAAAUCAAAUUUAAUUCUUUUAAUUAGAUUAAUUAUAUUCUUCAUCCAUUAGCGUACAAAAAUAAUCAUAUAUUUGGGUAACAUAAAUACACCAAAUAAAUUAUUCUAAACAAAAUUCUCACCAAAAUAUUUAUUUAAUUCCAUAAAUAUUUGUAACUCUUUUUAAAAAAUUACAAUCGUUACAGUAUAUGUUACCCAUUUAUAAUACAAAAAGUGUAGUAAAGAGAAAUCAUAAAAUUUAAAACUAAAAUACAGUUCGAACUCCAAAGUUUACAUGUAAGAGUAUGGUCAUACCCCAAACUUUAAAAGGUGCCUUCUUUCACCCUUUAUUUAUACAUUAAAUAAACUAAACAAAUUCCACUGAAGGAAUUUUUUAUUUUUAGAGGCAUGUGUUUGAUCCAUCAUCGUCAAGUUAUAUUUGGUGUGAUUGUUUCUCUGAAACAGUGGAGAACAUUCAAGAGAUUGAGGUGUUUUGUGUAUGGGCGAGUAUACUCAUUGUUGCAGUGUAUAGUCGGUUAAGCAAGGGCGGAGCAAGGAAUUUUUGCCGCCCUGGGCUACCAAGUACCAACCAUAUACACAAGAAAUUAUCCCACCAAGAUCAAUCAUAAAUUCAAAAUAUAUAUAAAGGUUACCUUGCCCAAAACAUUGGCUAAUUCACAAGUUUUAGCAUAACAAUCUCUUAGAGGCAAAAUUUCAAACAAUUUAAAGGCGUACUCUAAAAUCCCAGAUUUCAUAAGCAUAAUAGAUGGAGCUUAGCCAAAAAUUUCAUCCUUAUUACUCCAAUUAGCAUAUAUAUAACCUCCCAUCACAUCAACAAAGCAAUUUCAAUACGUUAUUUAACUCAAAUUCACGAAUUUAACAAGUAUAAACUAAAUUACCUUUUUGCUUCAUGUUUUUACUUGAAUCCUUGAUUCAAUCUUGCUCCCAACUUGCUUUGAUUGAAUUCAAUUCUUCAUUUGGACAAUACUUUUGCUUCACUUCUACUUUAAUUUCAGUACUUGAUAACCUCAAUUCCUUAAGAACUUGAUGGAGUUUUUAGUCCAAGCAAAGAGAAAGAGGUUGGAACGGAUGGAAAGCAAGGAACUGUCAAAAACUUCACCCGGGCUAGAGCCCAUCCCAGCCCAAGCGUGGCUCCGCCCCUGCGGUUAAGGGAUGUUGGGUGUAAGUAAUUUCAGUGUAUCUUAUUUUGAAUCAGUGGAGUUUUAGAAGUGAAAAUUGAGAGUCAUUGGUGAGUUUUAACAGUUUCAACUAUGUGUAAUAUUUGGUUAGAAAAGAUAUUAAGCUAUUUUUGAGAAAAAGUUUAG